RNAcentral lists this long non-coding RNA (13905 nucleotides) under Solanum tuberosum (potato). RNAcentral's name for it is "long non-coding RNA (STUB_LNC006132)". The record is from RNAcentral. Lineage: Eukaryota; Viridiplantae; Streptophyta; Magnoliopsida; Solanales; Solanaceae.
AAAUUGUUCGUUACUUCAGAUUAUACGAUUUUUGUAAUAAUGUUAAAUCGUUCUCAUGUGAUCUACAACUUACGAGGCUAAGUUGUGAAAGUAGUCAUCCUUACUUGCAUUAGAAUAAACUGUCUACAUCAUAUCUCUUUAUGUACAACUCUUCUUCAAACCCUGCAUGAACGCGAGAUGCUUUAUGCGCUAAACUGUCCCAAUAUUUUGAAAUACAAAUAACCAAAAUAAUAUGUUAUAAAUAUUAAACCUUAAUAUAAUAUUUCAAAAAAUACGUAAUAAUUUAAUGCCUGAAUAGGCCAACAGAAAUUAUAAGAGGCUUUAAAAAAUAUUUAGAAAUAGAUUCCCUAUUUCGCUUGACAAAACCAAAAAAAACACAAUCCGCACCCAUCAUAAAACAAUCACUCUCUACCGUAGAUCUCCAUAUAAUCAACGGCUCAAAUGCAGAUUCGCCUCUCUCACGGAUCGAUACUAAUAUCCGUCCGAUCAUCACUUUAAGCUCCAACACACCAACGGCCACGAUUUAAAUCAUCAGCUAUAUAUAUACACAGAACCCUCAAAGCCCCAAUCAUCAAAAUCCAAAUCAAGAGCAUUUCUUCUCUAAAAUUUAUUCAGAAAAAUGUCAGGCAGAGGUAAAGGAGGCAAAGGAUUGGGCAAAGGAGGAGCCAAGAGGCACAGAAAAGUGUUGAGAGACAAUAUCCAGGGAAUUACAAAGCCAGCUAUUCGAAGACUCGCUCGUAGAGGUGGUGUGAAGCGUAUUUCUGGGUUGAUUUACGAAGAGACUCGUGGGGUUUUGAAGAUCUUUUUGGAAAAUGUGAUUCGUGAUUCUGUAACUUACACAGAACACGCUAGGAGAAAGACGGUUACUGCUAUGGAUGUUGUUUAUGCACUUAAGAGGCAAGGAAGGACCCUUUACGGAUUUGGGGGUUAGGGUUUGUUGGUUUUUUUUUAUUUGUGCUUUGAUGGUGUAAUUCUCUGUUACAUAUUCAUGGAAUAGAAAUAUGCUUUAGUUAUUAAUUCUGAUUCUCUUCGUCUUCUUCACUCUUUGAAUGACAAUUUAAGCUAUUCAGAUCUGGAUAUUUCAUUAUAUGAGAAAUUGACAAUGUUGAAAUUAUGAAAAGGAUUAACAAUGUUAAAGAAAAUAAACUGAUAAUGACAAAGGUCUUAAAUUUUAAUUCAAAAAAGGUAAUGUUCCUUUUGGAACAAAAAAAUCAAUUAGAUUUUAAGCACCACUGUUAAUGUUUUGAUAUAUUAGAAAGUAUUUAUCAAUAUUAAAAUCUAUACUAAAAAAUAUUAUGCUUCUAUUUAUAUUAAUUGAACUUUUUUGAGUUUUUUUUAUUGCUCAAAAUAAUUGAAUUAUUUAUAGUUCAACAUGAAUCUGUUUAAGUUCUUUUUCAUAUUUGUUUUUUUUUUCUUUAAUGAAGCUUCAUGUAAUUUUUAAGAUUUAGAUUAUGUAUUUUUAAUAAGUAUUCUCUUCAUUUCACAAAGAAUGACCUCCUUUCCCCUUUUUAGUCAAUUUCAAAAAAAUGACCUAUUUCCUUUUUUUGUAAUAUUUUAUUUUUUGUUUUCCAUCAUGUUUAAGACUAUAAGAUUAAGGACAAUUUUGUAUAUUUGACAUAACUUUAAUUUAUGAUCACAAGAUUCAAAAAUCUUCUUUAAUUUCUUAAACUUUGUGGCAAGUCAAACUAGAUCAAUCUUUUUUGAAAUGGAGAGAGUAUGUAUUGUCUCAUUAAUUUAAUUAACAUAAAAUAAAGAGAAUAUAAAAUAAGUUAAAAAUUAAUCCAAACAUGCUUUAAAAAAAUGUCUUACAUAAAUUAAGAGAAAAAAUAUUUGGAAAAGAAGAUGGAAGAGGAGAUCAUAAUGAAGAUUUAAAUAGCAAACCAACUAAAAGCCACUAACAAAUACAGUAUACCCAUGUAUUUCCUUUUGUUUCUAUUUAUUGGUUUAUUUUUUAUUUGACAUAUUUAUUACGAAAAUAAUAAUUAAUGUAAUGAAUUUAUUAAUUAAUUCUUAUUAAUUAGGGAUGAUAAUGGAGUGGGGUGGUUUUAAGACUAUGCGGAGCGGGAUGAAUUUAAUAUUGUACAUGGUGGAUUCAAGUGGAUUUUUUAAAUUAAUGCGGGGGGACAAGUUGUGGGUAUAUAUAAUUUUAUGUGAGUUCAAACUUAAUUUCAAUUUUUUACAUGUUAUAAGUGUCCAUUUGGAUUGAUUUAUUUUAAGUACUUUUGAGCCAAAAUAGUUUUUAAGCAGUUUUGAAAUGUUUGAGUAAAGUUAAAAAGUGCUUAUAAGCACUUAUUUUAAACCCAAAAUAACAAAAAUAAGUCAAAAGUCAUAAGUUAGAAAUCCGAACUUAUGGCUUUUGACUUAUAAGUCAUAAGCCAAAAGCCAAUCCAAACAAGCCUUAAGAGUGAUAGAGUAUUAUUUAUUAAAAUAAUUUCUUUAAAAACUAUUAAAAUAUUUAAGAUAAUAAAUGAAAAAUGGUUCGAUAAAAAAUUCUUCCUAUAUUUUAAAAAGAAUCACCUACUUUCCUUUUAGUAUGUUUUAAAAAGAAUGGCUUCUUUUUGUUUUUGGUAAUAUUUUAAUUUCAGCUUUCUACGUGACAUAUUUAAUGCCACAAGAUUAUAUGACUAUUUUGUAUAUUCGAUAUAACUUUAAUUUAGGACAAUAAGAUUCAAAAGUUUUUUUAUUUUCUUAAACUUCGUGUCAAGUCAAACUAGGUCACUCUUUUUGAAACAGAAGGAGUAAUACAAUUUCUUACAUGUUUUCCAAGUGGACUACUAAUAAAUACUUAACUUUUUAAGUCACUAUCCUAUUAAAUAAUAAUACUUAAUGAAAAAAAUCAAUUUAUUUUAUAAAUUUUAUUUUUAAUAUCAAACUUAAAAAAGAAAAUAUUGGAAAAAUUAUACGGGGAAUGUGGGAGUUGGGACAAGUUGAAAAUGAAAAAAAGUUGUUAUGCAGGGUGGGAAGGAAUAUUUUGCCGAUUGAGCUAAAAUCGUCCCCCCCUCCCCCCCAUUGCCAUCCCUACUAUUAAUUGAUAGAAUCUCAAAAUCAAUUUAUUCAUUAAAGAAAUUCUAUCUUUUUCAAAAAUAUCAACUCUCUAAAUAAAUUAAGGGUGUAAUAGGUAAAAAAAAUAUUAUUUUUUCUUGAUUUGUCAAAAUUGACAAGUAAAAAGAGAUUCAAAAAUGUUAAAAUUGAACAAGUAAAAAGAGACGGAAUAAAUAAUUCACAUAGUGAUAUUUUCAAUACUUGUUCUCAAAAAUUAAAAUAAUUUAAGUGUUGUGAAAACAAAUUUUAUUCCUUUUGUUCAAUUAGAGUUGUCAAAAAGGGUCGGUCCAGUCCUAUCCGAUCCAAGCCUCGCGGACCAAAAAAUUUGAAGGGCUAGGGCGGGCCGGCCCUUCAUUUGUAAGGGCCUAAAAAUGUUCAAUCCAAUCCAACCCUAGAAGGACCGAGGGCUAGGGCAGGAUAACCUUUUUUUCUUCUUUACUUAUAUUCUAUAACAUCAAGAAAAUGAGAAGAUUUUCAAAUCAAAUAUGACAAAUAAUGGUGUUGUUUCAAUAACACUAGUAAAAAAUAUAGUGUAAUUAACAUGUAUCUCGCAUACCAGAUACACGAGCGAGAUAAAAGAAUGACAAGCAAGAUGGGAGGGGGGAGAGGGCGCGAGAUUUAUCUAUGUAUUCUAGGUACAUACGAAUCUACUUGGAUAUAGUGUAUCUAAAACAAAUUAACCUAAUUUUAGUCCAUAUAUUCCAAGAUACAUGUAUAUGAACGUACAAAAAUCUGGUAAGAUUCAUAAUAUUACAACAUAGCGUGUAUUUAAGUAAUUAUAUUAUAUGCUAGUGAGAUUAUUGUAAGUUACUCUUACAUAAAAUGUUUUGGUCCAUGGGCCGACUCCGAUCAAGCCUCAAGGGCAAAAUACUUAAAUGGGCUGAGCUUAUAAGCCAUAGUUUUAAAUGAGCUUGAAAAAUUCUAGGGGUGUACAAAAUCGAACCGAAAACCAAACCAAAUCGCAAAUCGAGAAAAAAAACCCCGACUAGUGGUUGGGUUGACUUGGUUUGGUAUUAAAAAAAAAACCCGACUAUAUUUGGGUUGGUUUGAUUUUAACUAGAGGCGAAUCCAGGAUUUCAAGAAGACGGGUGCACUAUUACUUUAAAGAUAAUAUCUAAAAUUGUAGGAAAAAUGGCCUAAUAUAGCCCUCAACUUUGUGAUUUAAAGUUGACAUUCACCUUGUUAUGAAAGUGACUUAUAUAUACCCCUAAUGUUACACAAAUGACUCACCUAUACUCUUUACCUCUAACGAAUGCAAAAAUUAAUUAAUAUAGGGGUAUAUUUGAUCCUUGUCGUAUAUUUUUUUUUAGAUUUUUUUAUUCAACGGCUAAUUUGAAUUUAUUAUUUUAAUGAUCAAAUUUAUUUUUUUUCACUAAUUUUAUUGUAAAAUUUAUUAUACAUGCCCAAAAAAAUUAUAGAUAUAAAAACUAAAUUUCAAUAUAGCCACAAAAAUAAUAACAUUUAAAUUCCAAUAUAGCCCAAAAAAAAAUUGUUCUAAAAUAUUUUCUUAAUUUUUUCACUUUUUCCAUUCACAGUUCUUUCUUUUGAUUUAGGUUUUACACUAAAGUGAACGAAAAAAUUAAGAAAUAAGAAUAAGAAACUCAAAAAAUGUGUGAAAAAGAUCAAAUAUACCCCUACAUAGAUUUUUAAUAACUAAAAUAAAAAUAAUAAAUUUAAAAUUAUUAUUUUUAUUUCUGUUAAAUUUCCAAAAUUUUAUAAAGACAAUAAAUUAGCGAGCUAAAGAGAAGACGUUUAAUUGAAUUAUAUUUUUCUUCUAUUUUUUUGCCUUGGCUAAUUAAAGUUGUAAAUGCCAUUUCUUUUAUUAAUUAAUAUAAUAAAAUAGACCUUACAAAAAAAUGGGCAAAUUGAGCGCUGGCUGGAUUCGAAUCAGCGACUACCAGCUCAAUAAUAAGCCCUCAGACCAGUGAACCAUCUAGUCAUUUUAAACAUAGGUUCCUUUAGGUAAUAUUUAAUAUAUUUUUAAGAAUUAUACAAAUGAUAUAUCGAGUUUAGCCGGAUGACCACGGAUUUCGGUGACUCAAAUUUGACACUUAAAUUCGCUCCUGGUUUUAACUAGAAAAACCAAUCCGAGACCAAACGAACCCGACAUUAUAUAUAUAUUUUUUAAAUUUUAUUUUAUACAUAAAAAUGUUUACUUUGAUAUAAUUUUUAAAUAUUUCUUAUACUUUUUCAUAGUUUUUAUCUUUUAAUAUAUUAUUUCAAGUUUGAAACUUAGAAUUUUGAAUGGUUCAAUAAAGAUUAUAGUCCAAAGAUGUUGGUAAUUAUAAUAAAGCUUAAAUCAAAAUCAAAUUAAUACUAAUGAAAAAAGAAAAUCAAUUCAACACUAAGAAUGACAAUAAUAUUGAAUAUUUGUUCUUUGGUUUUACAUUGGAUAAGACAAUUCAAAUACAUAAUCUAAUUUUAAUUUCCUUUAAUAUUUAGUCAUGUAAUUAAUACUUAUUAAACUUAUAUUAGCAUGAUUUAGUACUUUUAAAUUAUGAUCAUUUUCAUUAUGACUUGUUAAUUUGCAUUUUGCAAUAUUUGUUUUACUCAAUUUCAUUAGUAUUAUUAUUUUGCAUAUUUUAGUGUCAUUACUCAUAUCAUAUUAUGUGUUAUUUUCUUAAGCAACACCUUAGAUAGUUGUAUUUUGGUAUGAUUAAAGAAAUAUUUGAAGUACAAGUAAAUUAUAUGUUUGUAUGAAUACUUUACCCAAAAAAUCCGAAAAUCCGAAAAAACCCGAGGUUGAAAAAUCUGAGUUUUAUUGGUUUGGUUUGGUUUGGUUUAUAGAUUUAAAAAUUUGACACAAAUGGUUUGGUUUGAUAUUCGAAAAACCUCGAACCAACCCGGACAUGUACACCCCUAAACAAUCCUAUCCAACCCUACCCCAAUAAUGGGUUGGGUUGGUCGUCCCCAUGUGCUAAGCCCAUUUUGACGGUUCUAUGUUCAACAAUAGUUGUCCAUUAGUGACUUGAUACACGUCUUAAGAAGCAAUAAAUAAUAGGGAUAUUAUUAUUAUUGUUUUAUCCUUUGACUUUAUUAAAUUUAAUGUUUUGGAAAACGUGUUAAAUGAUAAAUAAUAUUCUUUCUGUCCAUUUUUAAUUGUCAUAUUGCGUUUUUCGAAGUUAAUUUGACUAAUUUUCAAAGUUAAAUUAGAUGACAUUAAUUUGAUAGUUUAAACAAAAAAUUAGAUAUUCAAAAACUAUAGAAAGAGUACUAUAAAUUUCAAGUUUUUACAUAUUAAUAUGAUGAAAAAAUACAUUGUAAAAUAUUAGUCAAAAUUAUUAUCGUUUUUCUCUAAAAAAAGGAAACUAUGACAAUUAAACGAAGAUAAUAUUUAAUAGAAAUGAUAAAAUAAAAGCAUCAAAUAAAUUAUCUCUUAAUUUUAAAUAUUGUUGAAUAGUAAUUAUUUUUAAUAUAUUUGACCAUUAUUAUUGAACAGAGGAAAUUAUAAGGCUUAGUAUAUUUUUUAGGAAUAAGAAAUGAUAGAUAAUGUGACCAAGCCAACAAGGUACUUACCUCGUUUCUCUCACCAAAAAAGCACAAUCCGCACACUAUCACUAAACAAUCACUCCUCACCAUAGAUCUCCAUUAAAUCAACGGUUCACAUACACUCUCCGCCUCUCACGCGGAUCGACUCUCAUAUCCGUCCGAUCAUCACCUUCAUCUCCAACACACUAACGGCCACGAUUUAAACCCCAAACAAACCAUCAGCUAUAUAUAACCACCAAAAUCACAAACCCCCAAUCAUCAAAAUCCAAAUCAAGAACAUUUCUUCUCUAAAAUUUCAUCAGAAAAAUGUCAGGCAGAGGUAAAGGAGGCAAAGGAUUGGGCAAAGGAGGAGCCAAGAGGCACAGGAAAGUAUUGAGAGACAAUAUCCAGGGAAUUACAAAGCCGGCUAUUCGAAGACUCGCUCGUAGAGGUGGUGUGAAGCGUAUUUCUGGGUUGAUUUACGAAGAGACUCGUGGGGUUCUGAAGAUCUUUUUGGAAAAUGUGAUUCGUGAUUCUGUGACUUACACAGAGCACGCUAGGAGAAAGACGGUUACUGCUAUGGAUGUUGUUUAUGCACUUAAGAGGCAAGGAAGGACCCUUUACGGAUUUGGGGGUUAGGGUUUGGUAGUUUUUUUAUUUUUUAUUUGAGCUUUGAUGGUGUAAUUCUCUGUUACUAAUUCAAGGAAUAGAAAUUUGCUUAUUCUCUUCGUCAUCUACACUCUUUGCUUAUUCAAUUUAAUUUCCUAUUAUUAUCAUCUGGGUAUGUUACGAAAGUUAUUUUAACUUGAAAAAAAGAAGAUUUUUGAUAGGAUUAUUUGAACGUUUCGUUGUUGCUGCAUAAGGAUUUGUUCGAGUGUUCAUUGCUUUUGUCAAUUGAUUUGUUGUGGCAAUGUUGAAUGUGUCUAAAAAUGGGCUAUUUUUCUUUUCUCUGUAAGUUGUGAUUGCUGGUAAAAUGGGUAGGAAUCUUUACCGUUUUGGAGGUUAGAUUUGUGAAAUUAGAGUUCUAGAUCGGUAUAUUUUGUUUGCAUAGUGUUUGAGGAUUAACAGUUCUCUAAUUGAACUUUGGUCAUGAAAAUAGUAAAUUCUUCAUCAACUGCUUUAUGUAAUGAUUUUGUUCUUUUGCCUUUUCAAGAUAUUGUGGUUGUUAACAAACAUCCCCUUCACUCGAUUGGCUAAUGAAAGUCAAAUCGGACAGCUUGUUUUGAUUGGUGCACCAAUAUAUCAGUCGGCUCAUCAGAAUCAUAGACGUGAUAUACACCAUGGGAAUUAUACAUUUACAAAUAAUUCAGUAUUCUAGUUUGCCUGACCAUGUUUGCUUCUCACCAGAUUUUGGUCUAGAAAAUAUGUUCUGUGCCUUUUUAAUUGUCCAAUUUUGUAUUUUAUUUGUAGUUUUCAACCAUGAAGCAAAAACAAUAGAGUAUUUUUUUUGUACCUAUUUAUUUAGAGCGUUAAUAUUUUUGAAAAGGCUAUAUGUAAAUUGAGAGUAAAUGGCUAAAAACAUCCCUUAACUAUAACUCAAAGCUACAUUUUUGUGUCAUUACAUUGAAAAAAAGCAUCCUUCAACUAUAUGAAAAACUGCAAGCUAGAAGCACACGAUUUUCUAAUAAAUGCAAACAAUUUUGCCCACUCAAUGAUCUUCUCUAUCAACUAGUAAACUAGUAAUUAGGUAUUCUAUGGCUAGCAUUAUUGUAGGAAUAUUAAUUAAGGCCUAAAAAUUUAUAACUUGGCUUGUUCAACUUUAGUUUGUCCCUUUUUAUUUUUAUUUUAUUGAGAUUGUUAUUAUGUUGUUAGCUUUCCUAUCAAGAAUCUUAUUGAUCCCAUGCUACUCUGAGUUUGCUUUAUUUUUUCAUUUUCUAUUUGGUACGUUACUCCUCCAACAGCUUCCAUCAAAUUUCCUAUACUCUCAACUUAUUAAAUGAAAACUUUAAACAUAAAAAACAGAUAUAAAUCUUGUAGAUUUGUCUUUGGAUUUGUGUAUUAAGGAAAAAUGGUUAAAAAUACCCCUUAAUUUUCAUUUAUUUGUUGAUUUUAUUCUUUACUCCUAUUAUUAUUAUACUUGUCAUUCGCAUUUCUCUCAAAUCAUCUAAAAUUAUCCAAUUUUGAUUGAAUUGACUUAAUUUUCUCUUUUAAUCCUAAUCCACCCACUAAAUCAAAUGCAAAUUAAAACUCAAAUCCAUCUUUCUAAUCUUGUUCAUUUCCUCCUCCGUUGAAACACUAUGCUACUUUCAGCAGUUACCAAAUCACUAUUACUGACAGCUUCCUUCACUUCCCCUUUCCAAGAGAUAGCAAAAUUUAAUUUGUGAAGCUUAUGUGAAUAUACGGAAGAGGCAUAUGGGUCGAUGUAUUGUGAUUUGUGAACGUUGUAUUGUAUGGAUGGCUGAGUUUGUAUUAUUGUAAGUAUUGUUGGGUUGCAAGCAGACACGAGAGAGUUUGGAAAUAAGCACAAGGUUAAAAGAUGAGAUUAACAAAAGUGAGUUAUAUGAUUAGGUGGGUUGAAUUGAGUUAAAAAUUGGGUAAUUUAAGUAAAUUCAGGUUUUUUUUGUUGAUUUAGGGUUUUUCAUACAAUUGAUGUGUACGAGUAAUAAAUUUGUAGACGGCGAGGGUAAGCAUAACUUUAUUUCAACAGUAAGGGUAAAGUCAACUAACAUACCUUAUUUGGUACUACAUUUUUUAUGCUACACUCUCUUGUAUAUUAAGAUGUGUUACUAAUAUCGUUGAGAUUAAUCAUUUUAUUAUAUUAAAUAUGGGUUAAAUAUAAUACUUUACUCCCAUGUUUAAUAAUAGUUGUCCUAUUGAUUUUGCACGUUCUUAAAAAACUAUGAAUAUAAUGAUAAUUUUACUAUAUCAUCCUUUGAAUAUAAUAAAUUCAAUAUUGUGAAAAAUAUAAUAGAGAAAUGACUAUAAUUAAUGAUAAUAAAAUAUUAUGAACUAAGUGUAAAAUUAUACAUUGAUUUGAUAAAAUUGAUAAAUAUUAUUGAACAUAUGUAAACAACUAUUAUGGAACGGAGGAUAACUAUUUUCACCUGACUCAUAUCCUAUUGGACUGUCCAUUUAUCAGCCCUGCUAAAAGUAUUUGAGAGUUUGGACCUCCAAAAUGGCAAAGCCCAAAAAGAUAUACUCAUAAAUAAGAAGAAAUGGAAAAUGUGACUACAAAUGAAGCAUUGGACCGACUUCUCCAAAGAAAAAAUCCUUUGUGGUUUAUCCUUUUUCCUAAGAAAACCUACAUUCCUAUUCUCCUUUUUUUUUUUUUACCAAAUUGACUAAAAAUCAUCCAACAUCCUUUCAUUCAAUCUUGGAUCUAAUCACAUCUUUGAUACAUUUAUAAAAAUCUAUUUUAUUGAAGAAGAAACAUGUAGAUCUGAAGCAAUUGAAGAGUAAGGGUUUCCAUGGUCUUUUUCAAGUUAAAAUUGUUGAAUCCAAACACAAGUUAUAGCAGAUCGAUUUGCUUAUAUUCUAGGAAGUUCAUCUUUCUUAACUACUGUGAAAGCAAAUUGGGUCUUUCUUUUGGUGAAGCUUUAACUAUACACAAGGAACCAUUAUUUGGGGCUCACAAGUGUACAACUCCAAAUUUAUCUCCAAAUGUUGAAGCUGAUGGGUAUGGUUCCCUUCUUUCUAAUAUCUACUUUGUUAACCCAACUCAUAAACUGUUCUUCUUAUUGUUUAACUUUUUCUAGUUACUUAGUUUAUUAUUGUUAAUGUAGGCAUGAAUUUAAAUUUGUUGAGAAUAUUAUAAAACAAGUCCUACAAGAGGUCAACCAGACACCUCUAGAUGUUGGAGAUACUCGCGUCGAAGAUAUAAAGUUGUUAUUGCGAGAUGAUAUUGAUCAACUUCACAUGGUUGGCAUUGGUGGAAUAGGAAAAACAAAUUUGGCAUAAAUGUAUCUACAACCGAAUAUUUUGAGAAUAAUUACUUCCUUUCUGACAUUAGAUCAGAAGCGGAAGCCUAUAAUGCUCUAGUCAAGCUACAAGAGAAACUUCUUCAUCAAAUUCUCAAAACGAAGGAUAAUUUAAUUGUUCUUGAUGACGAGGAUCAUAUAAGCCAAUUAGAAUCCUUAACAAGAGAAAGAAGUUGGUUUGGUUCGGGUUGUUUAAUUAUCAUUACAAUCCAACACAAACAUUUGAUAUGUGGGCUCAGAGCAAAGACUAAUUGGUUGUUGGAUAUUCUAAAUUUUUUAAGAAAUCUUGGAUUUCAAGGAAAGAAGAGUUGAUAUUGGGAGAAGUAGUGAUGAAGCAGAAUGAAAACUCCCACAACAAAGAGAGAUUGCAACUUCUACCCAUAGCUAUAAGAGGCAAGUUCUCCAUUUCUCUUCUUAGCUAAAACAUGAAAGUAUGAGGCAUAUACAUUUUGUUAGUUAUUUGAUCAAUUUAUAUCACAUUAUUUUUUAAAAGAUUUGAUAGAGCAGGUUAGGGGGGCUUUGAACAUCCGUUGCUGGCCAUCCCUACAAGAAAUGCUAAGCUAGUUAUAAAGUAUGUCAUAUAAAGACGGUGCAGCAAGUUGUUAUUGUUAUACUAACUGAAAUCACAAGACUUUUGGUGUAAAAGUUGAUGCUAAUGCCUUUUAAAUAAAUCAUGCUUCUGAUUGAUAUACUUGCUGCGUUUUAAAAUAGUUACUAAUGUUUAGCUGCCCAGUUUGUGUUGAGAGAGAAUUGCGAAAAGGCUCAUUCCAAAGAGUGAAAGAGAACCCGCCUUGCUUAGCAACCAAAGGAUUAAAAAUAACUAUUUGCAAAGUUAACCAUAUAUAAUAAAAGUAUAGCAGUGUAGCCAAGCCCAAAAAGACAUAAAUGAAGAAUGUGACUACAAAUGAGGAGAUAUGUAGCAUUGACUUGAGAAAUAUCUUGGUGUAGGAUUGCAAAUUUCUUGUCACAAAAUGAAGUUUCCUUGAAGAAAUCACAAUUCACUGUGUUCAUUUAUUCAAGGAGAAUCAUCUAAAUCCCAGUUCUCUUUCAGUUAACAAAUUGACUUAAAAUCAUCCAACCUUCAUUAAUUUUUACAUCCAUGGACACUAUUUUUUUAAGGAGAAUCAUCUACAUCUUCUCACUUCUCUUAUGAUGUAUUUCUGAGUUUCAGGGGUAAGGCAAAGUGGGAAAGCAAAGUUGACUUCGGGUGAGGCCUCCCAACACACUUGCAGCCAAUGGUAAACCUUGACACAUUUCAACCGUUCUAUUCCCCAUGCUUACUAAUCCCUCUGGAACCUGCCCAUCAUCAAAUGCUCUUUGUUUGAAAAUGGACCAACAAUGAUCUUCUAAUUUUCCCAACAUAUGAAGAUCUACUGCUACUAGGGAUGCUAUCCAUUUCAUACGAGUUGUCACGAGAAUGCAGUUUCCUAUGGAUGGAUGUAUUUAUUCCUUUCAAUGAUCAGUUCAACAAAGCUCUUAGUCUUCGACAUUUCAGGUAGACACAAAAAAACUCUCUUUUCAAAGUGUUUCUUGAUAUGUUCAUCAUUGAAAAUUCUCUUAGCUAUGAGAAUGGUGCAAUCUGGAUGCUUUGGUGAAGCUUUGUCUGUAUACAAGGAACGAUUAUCUUGGGCUCAAAAAAUGGAGAAGCGGAUAACUACACUUAGAGAACCUCCAAAUUUAUCUGGAUGGGAUUUGCAAAAUGUUGCUAAUAGGUAUGAUUUCUCAGUCUUUUCUACUUUGUGAAGCAAACUCAUAAAAAAUUACUCUGAAUGAAUAUUCUAUAGCUUCAAUGUGCAUUUUUAAACUAUUAAAAUGCUAAUUCAAUCACAACAAGCCUAAUAAACUAAAGUGUUGGGCUUUUAUUGUUACGAUUUUUGUUUUUGUUUUUAAUUAUUAUUCCUUUUUUCCCUAACAAUUUGUAGGUGUGAAUUUAAAUUUAUGGAGAAUAUCAUAAAACAAGUCCUACAAGAGGCCAACCAGACACCUCUAGAUGUUGCUUGAAAUCCAGUUGGAGUAGAUGCUCGUAUCAACAACAUGGUUGGUAUAUAUGGCAUUGGUGGAAUAGGAAAAACAACUUUGACAAAAGGUAUCUACAAGACUACAACCAAAUAUUUUAGUAAUUUGGUUGUAGUUUGCUUCCUUUCAAAUAUUGGAUCCCGAAGCAUUUAAUGGACAAAUUUUCAAAAGUAAAGACUUCAAAGUUAACAGUGUUACUGAAGGCAUCAAACUAAUCAAAGCAAGACUCGGGUUAAAGAAGGUUCUAUUGUUCUUGAUCAGCUUUUGUGAUAUUGGAGUCGCAUUUGCAAGGAAGAUUGGUAACUAAAUGAAGACAUCAAGUCCAAAAAUUAAGAGCAAUUCCUUGUAGUGAUAUCCAAAGAUGAGCUUUUGAUGGACUUGAUGAUGAUACUCACUUUUGAAGUUUUAUUUAAUAUAAUAUGAAUAUUAUUCUGAAUAUUUUCUUGAAAAAUAAAACAUAACUCUAUUUUCAACUCUAACUCCAUAUAUUUUAAAUACAGUAAAAAAAAUAUGAUUCUAUAGUCAAACGCCUAAUAAUAAUGAUAAUCAUAACCAUGCUUUCUAUGUUCAUAAUUUCUAAAUAUUUAAUGUGUAAUUUAAUAACAAGGGUUUUAUUAUAUAUAGACACACACAUUCAAUUGUAUUCUCACUAUUUUCAUUUAUUCAAACUUAGAGUAAUUGAAUUGAUUUUUAAUAUUUUCAUUUAUUCAAACUUGGAGUAAUUGAAUUGAUUUCAAAUUAGAUUUGGGAGAAAACAAAAAAUGAGAAAAAGGGGAAAGAGAAAAAUAAGAAAGAGAAACAAAGGCCAAGAAGGAAAAUAAAACAUAGUUUGGCACAGGUCAAAAUAUAAUAUCAAUAAAACAAUAUAUCCUCAUACAACUAGUACAAGUUAUACCUUGCACAUAGUAAAUAUUUUCAUAAAUCAUGAUAGACUUAUUGAAUUUACUGCACAAUUAUCAAUGUUGUUGAUGUGUACAUAUCUGUCAUGAUACUCAUGUCACAAAAUUAGAGACAUAAAGGCAACUACCCUAACCCUCAUAGAAGGUAAGCCUCUGCGAAGACAAACAACAUAGAAUACAUGUAAAAGUAAUUCAAAUUAGAACAAUAUUUUAAAUCUCAGAAUGUUUUGUAAAUAAAGCAAUAGUACAUAAACAAAAUCACAAGGCUCAAUGUUACGUGCAUAAGAACGUUUUAUUACAAAGAAAAAUGACAAGUCUAGUACAUCAGUUGUCUAAAUAGCUAGUAAGACAAAAGUAAAAGUAAAAAGGGAAUCGGGCAGGGUCUCCGAAUGUAAGGGCUCAGCCACCUCCAACUCUUUCUGUGGGUAUCAACAACAACCACAAACGAAUCAAGAAUUAUUUGAAUCUUUGGUGUUAGGAUCGUCAUAAAAAAACAUGCACCAAUAUUAGUUUGAGAACAACAUCAAAUCAUUUAAUUUAGUACUUUUACCUAAAAUUUCUUC